Molecule: long non-coding RNA, 294 nt
Filed under: Ictidomys tridecemlineatus (thirteen-lined ground squirrel)
Lineage: Eukaryota; Metazoa; Chordata; Mammalia; Rodentia; Sciuridae
Description: lncRNA (ENSSTOG00000031459.1)
Source: RNAcentral
UGAUGAAUGAAUUUUGCCUUAUAGGAAAACUCUGUCCAAGAGCCUGGCCCACCCAGUGCUGCAGAUGACUCAGCCUCGCAGGGCGUCUCAUUCCCGAAGGAGGACCAUGUGAUAAUUGUACCUCGGAUUAUCCUGACUGGUCCUUUGGCUUCAGAUGAAGACUGGAAGCCAGUUCCUCAAGAUCCAGGGGCUUGAGACAGAAGGUGGAGUCAGUGGUGUGUCCUUCUCUGUCUGACUCUUUGAAUAAAGCUUUUCAUUCAUUCUAGUACUCUCCUAGAAAUACAUUUCGGUGUU